RNAcentral lists this transfer RNA (67 nucleotides) under Tritoniopsis elegans. Its description in RNAcentral is "tRNA-Met". Lineage: Eukaryota; Metazoa; Mollusca; Gastropoda; Nudibranchia; Tritoniidae. The record is from RNAcentral.
AAACAGGUAAGCUAAACUUUUAAGCUAUUGGGCUCAUAACCCAACAAUGGAGAUAUUCCCUUGUUUA